UUUGGGAGAAAAUUAGAAAAACUUAGUAUGCCUGUCUGCACACAGUGUUGUGCUGCCACGGACGGCAGCACAAGUCCUAAUGUGCCCGGAUGGCACAUUUAGGACGCACACGUCACUCCGCCACCCACCCACGCAGGCAUACUUAGCUUUUCUUAUUUUCGUACAAC
Non-coding RNA from Roseburia intestinalis XB6B4, 167 nucleotides. The record is from Rfam. NCBI's taxonomy places the organism in Bacteria, Bacillati, Bacillota, Clostridia, Lachnospirales, Lachnospiraceae.